ACAGCAGUAGCCGCGGGAAUACGUAGGGUGCAAGCGUUAAUCGGAAUUACUUGGCGUAAAGCGUGCGCAGGCGGUUAUGUAAGACAGAUGUGAAAUGCCCGGGCUCAACCUGGGAACUGCAUUUGUGACUGCAUGGCUAGAGUGUGUCAGAGGGGGGUAGAAUUCCACGUGUAGCAGUGAAAUGCGUAGAGAUGUGGAGGAAUACCGAUGGCGAAGGCAGCCCCCUGGGAUAACACUGACGCUCAUGCACGAAAGCGUGGGGAGCAAACAGGAUUAGAUACCCCAGUAGUCCCUGUCUCUUAUAC
This 305-nucleotide ribosomal RNA is filed under the name uncultured bacterium. RNAcentral describes it as "partial 16S ribosomal RNA". It matches the Rfam family "Bacterial small subunit ribosomal RNA", at positions 506 to 807 of the family's 1533-position model. The record is from RNAcentral.